CAACACUGAACCUCAAGAGAAAAAACUCGCUCUUAUGAGAACUAGCUCAAUCCUCUCCCUGGGCAACACUCAGUGACCUAAGGACUUCCCACCUCUUAAAGGGCCUGCCAUCUUGCAACACAGAGACUCAGACCAAGCCUGUAAUGUAUAAGCUGUGGCAAACAGACCACAUCCAAAUGACAGCAGCUCUCACCCCACAUUAGUCACAGGCUAUCCUGUGGGGUUAAUUCCUUCUUCCUUCCCAGUUGACAGGCAUACCGGUACCUAGCAUCUCCAUGCAGGAUCGUUUAACCCUGUGCUUCUGUGAUUCUGACUUUUCCUAAAUUCCACAAAUGAAUACUGACAAAGAUUGGAAAACUGGGCCUGGGGUAGGACGUCAGCUGAGACUAGAGCACAACAGGAGAAGACGCUGGAGGACUCAUGUGGAGCACAAGCCAACAUCUCUUUGAAAAUGGAUCUGUGUUGGGCACUCCGAGUCUCUGAUCAAGGAGGAGAAAAAGAAAGCGAAUCCUCAUCAUCAUGGAACCGGUAAAAUGGAGAUACAGAUGUGGAACCAGAACCCAUACUCCACAGCCGUCUGUCUCAUUAACUUUCUUUUUCAGAGCUGGCAAAAGUGGAGGUCCAGGAAGUUCUUUCUUUGAGGUCCCCCUUUCUCCUUUCCUCUCUUUAGUAACAGCCACCAUGAACUAUCUAUAAGACAUUUGCCACGCAUCUUCCUCCUUGUCAUGAUGCUAAUAUCCACCUCAAGACUUUAAUGAUAUCUACGCUAAUAUCUA
This is a non-coding RNA of Rattus norvegicus (Norway rat), 776 nucleotides long. Lineage: Eukaryota; Metazoa; Chordata; Mammalia; Rodentia; Muridae. The record is from RefSeq and is a predicted model, not a curated record.